GCCAAGUCCAGCACUACUCAAUGCUGUAGAAUGAGUUGUGGAGAUAAUCCAUUGUCCUCAAUGGCACAAGUGCCUGCCUGGCAAGCGCAAGGUCCCGAGUUCGAUACCCGGUACCAAAAGGAAAAUCCAUUGUCCUAAGACCACUGUUAAACUGGGAAGCACCUGAGUCUCCCUGCUGCGGAGGCCUACACAGCUUCAGGUAUUUCCCAAACCUGCUCCAAGGCUGGAACUGUUGCAGCAAAAUCUCGAGUCUGCCCCACAGGCGCACAGGUCUCCACCUAAUGCCAGAGCCCAACUAGAGUCUGCCUGUGUUUUUGAGGAUUCAGAUUCGUUCCUGAGAUGACAACAGGGGGCAGAGCCAGAGGACCCAGGCUCUCAGACAGCUCACCCAGGACAGAACCAGCAGACUUCCACCACACCCUCCAUCAGGAGACAGUCUUUGCUGCUUCCCUUGCAGUGUCGGUGAAAAAACACAUCAUGUUUUCGUUUAGUGAGCAGAUAGUUCAUGAUCUGAGACUUGGAAGCAGAGAGGCCAUUUCCAACUCUGAUAAAGGACACAAUGGAGAUCCACUGCAUGAUGGAGUGAGCCUGAGGAAAGUUUGGCACUUUGUACACGUGAGGAUCCAGAAGUAUGCGCAGCUGAGAUUUAAUGAAUUUGGUGUCACAAAUGGAAGAUUUUUUACAAAAGUUGAUGGUAUUUACUAA
This 705-nucleotide long non-coding RNA is filed under the name Chinchilla lanigera (long-tailed chinchilla). RNAcentral's name for it is "lncRNA (ENSCLAG00000025332.1)". The record is from RNAcentral. Lineage: Eukaryota; Metazoa; Chordata; Mammalia; Rodentia; Chinchillidae.